CCUACGGGAGGCUGCAGUGGGGAAUAUUGCACAAUGGGGGAAACCCUGAUGCAGCGACGCCGCGUGAGUGAAGAAGUAUUUCGGUACGUAAAGCUCUAUCAGCAGGGAAGAAAAUGACGGUACCUGACUAAGAAGCCCCGGCUAACUACGUGCCAGCAGCCGCUGUAAUACGUAGGGGGCAAGCGUUAUCCGGAUUUACUGGGUGUAAAGGGAGCGUAGACGGCAGCGCAAGUCUGGAGUGAAAUCCCAUGGCUUAACCAUGGAACUGCUUUGGAAACUGUGCAGCUAGAGUGCAGGAGAGGUAAGCGGAAUUCCUAGGGUAGCGGUGAAAUGCGUAGAUAUUAGGAGGAACACCAGUGGCGAAGGCGGCUUACUGGACUGUAACUGACGUUGAGGCUCGAAAGCGUGGGGAGCAAACAGGAUUAGAUACCCUUGUAGUC
Molecule: ribosomal RNA, 440 nt
Filed under: uncultured bacterium
Lineage: Bacteria
Description: partial 16S ribosomal RNA
Rfam family: Bacterial small subunit ribosomal RNA
Source: RNAcentral